This 305-nucleotide long non-coding RNA is filed under the name Mustela putorius furo (domestic ferret). RNAcentral's name for it is "lncRNA (ENSMPUG00000030690.1)". Lineage: Eukaryota; Metazoa; Chordata; Mammalia; Carnivora; Mustelidae. The record is from RNAcentral.
AAGAAGGAGAAAUAUCUCACCUGUGCCAUUAUGAUUACAGGUGCUACCUGUUGUUCGGAAGCCAUGACGAGAGGUUACAUGGUCAACAGCGGCACUGAGUCAUGAAACCGAAUAAUACGUCAAUGCUGACAAGUUUCUUUUUACACAAAGGUGAAAGGUGGCUCCUGGUUCAGAAAAUUGAGGAGGGCCUGAGAGACUGAACACAAGCAAAAAGCAAGAUCAACUAAGUGCCACCGCCUUCCUCUCAAGCUGGUGAAUAAAAAUCUUGAAUUCUUUUUGGUAUUCCUGUUGAUUUGGGGUUAGUU